RNAcentral lists this ribosomal RNA (358 nucleotides) under Pseudoalteromonas sp. S4741. RNAcentral's name for it is "partial 23S ribosomal RNA". It matches the Rfam family "Bacterial large subunit ribosomal RNA", at positions 572 to 933 of the family's 2925-position model. The record is from RNAcentral. Lineage: Bacteria; Pseudomonadati; Pseudomonadota; Gammaproteobacteria; Alteromonadales; Pseudoalteromonadaceae.
AGUAUGAGCAGAGUUGUUCUGUGACUGCGUACCUUUUGUAUAAUGGGUCAGCGAAUUAUAUUUUGUAGCGAGGUUAACCGAUUAGGGUAGCCGUAGGGAAACCGAGUCUUAACUGGGCGAAUAGUUGCAAGGUAUAGACCCGAAACCCGGUGAUCUAGCCAUGGGCAGGUUGAAGAUUGAGUAACAUCAAUUGGAGGACCGAACCCACUAACGUUGAAAAGUUAGGGGAUGACCUGUGGUUAGGAGUGAAAGGCUAAUCAAACCGGGAGAUAGCUGGUUCUCCCCGAAAUCUAUUUAGGUAGAGCCUCGGACGAAUACUUACGGGGGUAGCGCCCUGUUAAGGCUAGGGGGUCAUCCC